This 90-nucleotide transfer RNA is filed under the name Streptomyces noursei. Its description in RNAcentral is "tRNA-Ser". It matches the Rfam family "tRNA". From Rfam's summary of the family: Transfer RNA (tRNA) molecules are approximately 80 nucleotides in length. Lineage: Bacteria; Bacillati; Actinomycetota; Actinomycetes; Kitasatosporales; Streptomycetaceae. RNAcentral also lists the same sequence under 6 other names. The record is from RNAcentral.
GGAGGCUUGCCCGAGCGGCCUAAGGGAACAGUCUUGAAAACUGUCGUGGCGGCAACGCCACCGUGGGUUCAAAUCCCACAGCCUCCGCCA